This 692-nucleotide ribosomal RNA is filed under the name uncultured Acidobacteriota bacterium. Its description in RNAcentral is "bacterial SSU rRNA". It matches the Rfam family "Bacterial small subunit ribosomal RNA", at positions 1 to 667 of the family's 1533-position model. Lineage: Bacteria; Pseudomonadati; Acidobacteriota. The record is from RNAcentral.
AAUUCGCCCUUAGAGUUUGAUCAUGGCUCAGAAUCAACGCUGGCGGCGUGCCUCAGACAUGCAAGUCGAACGCGAAAUCUCCCUUCGGGGAGAAAGUAGAGUGGCGCACGGGUGAGUAACACGUAGGUAAUCUACCUUCGGAUGGGGAAUAACACCGAGAAAUCGGUGCUAAUACCGCAUAAUGCAGCGGCACCUAAUGGUGACAGUUGUUAAAGCGGGGGAUCGCAAGACCUCGCGUCUGAAGAGGAGCCUGCGGCGGAUUAGCUAGUUGGUAAGGUAAUGGCUUACCAAGGCGACGAUCCGUAACCGGCCUGAGAGGGCGGUCGGUCACACUGACACUGACAUACGGGUCAGACUCCUACGGGAGGCAGCAGUCGGGAAUUUUGGGCAAUGGGCGAAAGCCUGACCCAGCAACGCCGCGUGAAGGAUGAAAUCCCUCGGGAUGUAAACUUCGCAAGAACGGGAAGAAUAAGUCUGUGUUAACACCACAGGCGAUGACGGUACCGUUUGUAAGCUCCGGCUAACUCCGUGCCAGCAGCCGCGGUAAUACGGGGGGAGCAAGCGUUGUUCGGAUUUACUGGGCGUAAAGGGCGCGUAGGCGGCCACCGCAAGUCAAUUGUGAAAUCUCCGGGCUUAACUCGGAAAGGUCAGCUGAUACUGCGGGGCUAGAGUGCAGAAGGGGCAACUGGAAU